This 71-nucleotide small nucleolar RNA is filed under the name Calypte anna (Anna's hummingbird). Its description in RNAcentral is "Small nucleolar RNA SNORD58". It matches the Rfam family "Small nucleolar RNA SNORD58". Rfam says of the family: snoRNA U58 is found in introns 1, 3 and 6 of the ribosomal protein RPL17 gene in humans. U58 is a member of the C/D class of snoRNA which contain C (UGAUGA) and D (CUGA) box motifs. Lineage: Eukaryota; Metazoa; Chordata; Aves; Apodiformes; Trochilidae. The record is from Rfam by way of RNAcentral.
UUGCUGUGAUGACCAUCUUGGGACACCUUUGGAACACCUGUGAAAAAAAAAUUGCGUUACUUCUGAGCAAC